GAGACUCUUCGGUACUUGACUUUAUUGUGCAUUGCCUUCGCUACGAUGACAUUGUCCACAAGGAAGACUCGGUGGGAUACAGGGUGUUUUUGACAACCGGGUUCUUUUGUCAGGCAAUGUCCGUUCAGAGCAUCUACAUGGACGAUGGAGUAACCGAGACCGACGAUUUCAAGACGUUGUGGUAGUGCCUGGAAUCAGAAAUUGAGCAUUAUGAGGACAUAUUGAAGGCAAAGCUGGUUAGUUUACUUUUGCAUUUGUUUAACUAUCCACUUGCAACUGCUGUAUUCAUGCCUGCAUGCUCAGGGAAACACUACUUUGUGUACUGCAUCAAUCUCAUACACAAUCGUAUUGAUAUUCUGGACUCAAUUGACUACGUUUGGGGCAACACCUCUCUUAAAACUAGCCACCGUCCGGUCUACAACAAGAUAUCAAUCAUAAGUGCUGCAUUCUAGAGGGUCACCAAUAACAAAUUCCCUUGUUUUGAGCGCUGGAGCAGGCCGAUGAUCGAUCUGCCCAAGCAAGCUGGCCCCUGCGAUUGCAUGUUCUUCCUUUGGAAAUACAUGGAAUAUUGGGACAGCGAGCGCCUCAACAUUGAUAUCAAUCCGGUG
This is a long non-coding RNA of Panicum virgatum (switchgrass), 608 nucleotides long. RefSeq lists it as uncharacterized. The record is from RefSeq and is a predicted model, not a curated record. NCBI's taxonomy places the organism in Eukaryota, Viridiplantae, Streptophyta, Magnoliopsida, Poales, Poaceae. The transcript has 3 exons.